UUUUUUUUUUUUUUAAGGAAUGAACUCCAUGCAAUGAACUUUCCUCUUAGUACUGCCUUUAUGGUGUCCCAGAGAUUUUGAUAUGUUGUGUCAGUGUUCUCAUUUACCUCUAAGAAUUUUUGAAUCUCCUCCUUGAUGUCUUUUGCAACCCUUUGUUCAUUCAGUAGCAUAUUACUUAGUCUCCACGUGUUGGAGUAGCUUUUAUUUUUAUUUUAUCAUUGAUUUGUAAUUUUUUUUCAUUAUGAUCUGAUAGAAUGCAGGAUAGUAUCUCUACUUUUUUGUAUUUGCUAAGAGUUUCUUUGUGGCAUAAUACAUGAUCUAGUAUAGAGAAGGAACCAUGUGCUGCUGAGAAGAAAGUGUAUUCGCUUGUUGAAGGAUGAAAUAUUCUCUCUCUAUAUAUAUGUCAGGUCUAAGUUAUUGAUUGUAUUAUUUUUUUUUUUCACAGUUGGAAAUUUAAUAUGCCUUUUUCAGAAUUUGAAAGAUGAAGUGAACAAAAUCAAUAAAAAAGUAAAAUUUCAAUAAUAAACAGCAAGAUUGAUGCAGUAUAUCUCUAUCUCUAUUUUUUUUAUCUCUAAUUCUAUCUUUAUAAUCUACACAUGGAAAAUACAUCUCCUUUUUGAACUUUCACAAAAGUCAUCGAUAUUAAUAGAGCUCCCACCCAGUAAUCUCAAUAUAUUGCGAAAAGCAAAUAGUUAAGGCUACAUACUCUGAUCACUGUGCAACAAAAUUAGAAAUUAACAACAAAGGGUAGAGAAAAAUUCUCUAAUAAUUGAAAAUAACUAUUACCUUUGAAGAGGGAAGUAGAAUUUAAGUAUGUAAGAGAGAGGUAAGACAGAUUUUAAUUUUUCAAAUAAAAAAUAUAUACCUUUCUACUGAGGCUUUGCAGGAUUACCUCUAUAAUUUAAAAAAAAAAAUCUAUUAGCCUGACACAGUGACACUCAC
This 942-nucleotide long non-coding RNA is filed under the name Marmota monax (woodchuck). Lineage: Eukaryota; Metazoa; Chordata; Mammalia; Rodentia; Sciuridae. The record is from RNAcentral.